UGCUGAAUGCCGCCAGCCACGGGGUCAA
This 28-nucleotide non-coding RNA is filed under the name Homo sapiens (human). Lineage: Eukaryota; Metazoa; Chordata; Mammalia; Primates; Hominidae. The record is from RNAcentral.